Molecule: ribosomal RNA, 255 nt
Filed under: uncultured bacterium
Lineage: Bacteria
Description: partial 16S ribosomal RNA
Rfam family: Bacterial small subunit ribosomal RNA
Source: RNAcentral
UACGGGGGGAGCAAGCGUUGUUCGGAUUUACUGGGCGUAAAGGGCGCGUAGGCGGUCGUGACAAGUCACUUGUGAAAUCUCCGGGCUUAACUCGGAACGGUCAAGUGAUACUGUCGGACUAGAGUACAGAAGGGGCAACUGGAAUUCCCGGUGUAGCGGUGAAAUGCGCAGAGAUCGGGAGGAACACCCGUAGCGAAGGCGGGUCUCUGGGCCGAUACUGACGCUGAGGAGCGGAAAGCGUGGGGAGCGAACAGG